AUUAUGACGAUUGGUGGAUAGAA
Molecule: non-coding RNA, 23 nt
Filed under: Arabidopsis thaliana (thale cress)
Lineage: Eukaryota; Viridiplantae; Streptophyta; Magnoliopsida; Brassicales; Brassicaceae
Source: RNAcentral